GUGUGGUAUAAGAAUGCUUAGUUUACCAUUCUGUUUUUCAGUGUUUAGUUUAGCUAUGUCGUAUGUGGAAAUCUUAGCGAAUUUUAACCUGAAUUUCCAAUUUGACCGCUACAUUUCCAGUGGUCUAAGGUGAUUGGAAUUGAGUGAUUUAUUGUAUGAAUGAUUGGGGAUCAUUCAGUGCUAAUCUUGUUGAUCUAUUUGUUGUGGUUUAUUUGGCAUGGUUCUCCCCUCACCUGACAUUGUGAAUUAGUAGAAACAUUUCCAAAUUAACCCUUUUCGGUAUUUAUUUUUCAGCUCCUCUUUUGACUUGGACUAUGACUUUCAACGGGACUAUUAUGAUAGGAUGUACAGUUACCCAGCACGUGUACCUCCUCCUCCUCCUAUUGCUCGGGCUGUCGUGCCCUCGAAACGUCAGCGUGUAUCAGGAAACACUUCACGAAGGGGCAAAAGUGGCUUCAAUUCUAAGAGUGGACAGCGGGGAUCUUCCAAGUCUGGAAAGUUGAAAGGAGAUGACCUUCAGGCCAUUAAGAAGGAGCUGACCCAGAUAAAACAAAAAGUGGAUUCUCUCCUGGAAAACCUGGAAAAAAUUGAAAAGGAACAGAGCAAACAAGCAGUAGAGAUGAAGAAUGAUAAGUCAGAAGAGGAGCAGAGCAGCAGCUCCGUGAAGAAAGAUGAGACUAAUGUGAAGAUG
Molecule: small RNA, 691 nt
Filed under: Pan troglodytes (chimpanzee)
Lineage: Eukaryota; Metazoa; Chordata; Mammalia; Primates; Hominidae
Description: retained intron
Source: RNAcentral